GUCAGUCUCCCCACCCUACAGCCAGACGCCCCCAACUCGGGGCUGCCUCUCAGGCAAGUCUGUCGAGCUCCUAUUGUCUCAUCCCCUUUGAGCUGGGUUUUCUUCUUCUUGAAGCUAACGGCAUUUUAGUUGGCAUAGCCUGGCCCGCCAAGGGAAGAUGAGCUUUCUCUCCUUGUUCCCAAGAAAGCAGAAUUAGAACUAGAGGAAAGUAGGUAGCCCCCUUGAUGGAAGGAGCUGUCCUGGAGUGAGUGCUCCAGUGUUUGGAGCAUCCAAGCGGAGGCUGGGGAACCUCCAGGAGAUUUCUAAGAGGAAGCGGGGACAUGGCUGCAGGCAUGCACCCCACCCUCAAGGUGGGGGCUCUCAGACCCUUAAAAGUGGGGGCAGGACUGAUGCCAAACGCCCCUCCUGCUGCAGGACAACUUCUCAAAGGGAAACGAGGGCAUCCAGUUCGUUUUUCUCACAUUUUCUUCAAAAGAGACCAGGAGUGUUGAAAUCAUUCUUCCCAAAUCGCCCAUGUUUUAAGAAGGCGAGUCCAAUUGGUGCUAACAUAAUAGUGCGUAUUAUAACUAAUAUAUCAGCUCUGUGGCAGGUGCUGCAGUUACAUUGUACUUUCUAGUUGUUUUUUGUAUGCUUCAUAGUAAAAUGGGCCCUUUCGCAUAAUUAAUGUGAUUGAUGAAGCAAUGUCCAUCUUAUCAGGCACACCACAUAAAUUCUUGGCACAGUGAACUGUUGUAAAGGUUUGUGGUUGUGACAUCUUUGCUUUCCUGACGUACUAAGAGUCAUAUUCGUGAUUUAAUUGUUGUGAAACCCAGGGUCGGGAAUGCUUCCCAAGCUCGCCGUGGCGAUACUGUUCUUGUGGGGGAGAGAGGCCAGUGUGCUUUAGUCAUUUUGCUGAUUUAUAAACAUGUUGCCCAUUCUAGGUUCCUUUCACAAUCCCUUCUGGAUGUGUCAUCUGUGAAUUUAUUUAAACAUUUUAAAAAUCAUUUCCAGCGUGUACCACCCACAGCCUUUCUUCCAUUUCUGCUAAACUUGAAUUUCCUGAGCUGCCAGCAUCUUCGGCACCCUCCCCUUGGACUGGUCUCCCGGGGGGAUGGCAAACAGUGCUCGCCGCUGUCAGCAGUGGCCGGCCUCCCUUCCCACCUGACACCACUUUGAUUUAGUUUCAUGUAAAUGGCUUGUUUACUUCUCCACUGAAUCUCAAAGCAAAUUAAUAGUGUCAGUGGCUUUUGCUAAAUGAAGAUGGAAUGAGGCAGAGACCGCAGAAUAUAUUGGUGCUCCUUUGGCAGCAUUUGACGAGGUGAAAUGAAGGGAGGUCUCGACUCCUGGCUGCCUUGAUCGGUAGGUGACUUUAUGCAAGAAGAUGAGUGAGAGAAAGGCGUCCUGCAGGACAUGUGUCCCAGGUUGUCACUGAGUCGAGGACUCAAGGUAGACAGUGGGGCUCCUUAUUUGAGUCACUAGAAGCAGCGUUUUAGUUCUUAAAUCAAAUAGCUAGUCCCCAAGUAUCAGGCUCUUCUGCCUAUUUUGUGACCUGUAAGAUGGGGACAGGACAGGAAGAACCGUGAAUGUUCUCAAAUGUCCGGGAUAAUAGGCAUUGUUUUCUUAAAUUAUCUCUGCUUCGUGUAGAAUCAGUUCACUGAGCUAGAAGCCUCUGGAAGCUGCUGUAGCUGCCCCUAGCUGGCGUGUUUGCCUCUUUCUUAGUCCAGAGCUGUGGAUGGAUGUCUGAGGUCUUUCUUCUUGCCCAGUGCCUAAGUGACCACAAAAACUGCUAAGGCUUGCCUGUGGGGUCCGGCCCAGCGUGUGACCCACCAGCCCCAAUGCUCUGCAUGCCCAGGUCCCCACUGAACUACCCGCUCCUAUUAUGCAGUGUGGGAAAAUGAGACUUCUGACACCUAGAAAGCCUGUCCCUGGCCAGGAGCACUUGGUAGCAGAGAACCAGAGGGAUCAGACUUCAGCAGCACAGCCCACUUCCAGCCAUUGCCCUCCGGCCAGGAGGAACCACUCUGUACGUUUUUGUGCAGACUCACCCUCCUCUCUGACUUUUUUUUGGUGAGGAAAAUUGUCACUGAGCUAACAUCUGUGCCGAACUUUCUCCACUUUUGUAUGUGGGACGCCACCACAGCAUGGCUUGAUGACCGAUGUGUAGGUCCAUACCUGGGAUCUGAACCCAUGAGCCCUGGGCCGGGCCCCUGAAGUGGAGUGCACAAACUUAACCACUAUGCCACUGGGCCAGCCCCCUCUCUGACUUUUUGACAGCAUAGAUUGCUGGUCCUUAUUGAGGGCCGAUGAGGCUAUGUGUUCACUCUCUCUAAUGCCCCUAACCACUUGCAGGGUCUAUGCUACCCCUCCCAUUGGAUGGAUCGGGGAACGCAUGCUCCCAGGAGGGAGGCUCCUGCCUGGAGUUACUCUGUUUGAGGGGGCAGAAGUGGGAUUCCUCCUCUGCACACUGAGAUGCCACACACUGUCUGUUGAUUUACUGAAGCGUAAUUGGAGGUUCUCUUACAAAAAGAUUGAACGAAGUAAGAGGGUGUGGGCUCUGGGUGCCUUGCCUAUGCCCGCUGGCCUGGUUUUGUCGUUUCCCUGGGUUCUGAUGCUUCAGCUCUGUUAGGGCAGGACAUACACCCUUGCUCUCUGCCCCGUCCAGGCCCCCUUGGCAGAGCAGGGAGCGGUGGCGAGUGAGGCGUGCUCUGGGGAGGUGAGUGGCGGUCGUUGACCCUCAUUUAGGGGAGGGCCUUGGGGGUGAGACAGAGGAGAACGUGGUGCUCUAUGUUUCAGGCAGUGUUGAGUGUAAUCUUGUUGAUCUGCAGGGGUAAGAAUAAAUCUUAUGGCCUUUCCUUUUCUGCUUCCUUUCCCCCUCUGACCGUCCUUGUGUCUAUUGGCCCGUUUUACUUUAUCGCUGUUUCCCCCACUGUUUUAGUGAUCCUUUUUUAUUUCUUCUCUUGUGAAUGAUCAGUUCGUGUUUUCCAGUGCCAAUUCUAAGCCUAGAUCAGUAACAGAGAAAGGUCUCUCAGUUUUAAAGGGCUUGCUCACUUUCUGCCUCCGUGUUGCCCGGAAAAUAGGCGUUCUGGAAAACAUGCGCCUCACGGGACCUUCUUCCUGAACCUUCCACUGGUGUCGCUGGGUUUUCUCUGCUCACAGCUUUUCCAUUGGCAGUAAUUUCCCUGCUCUUUAGUCAUCAUGGACACCAGAGAACCUUAAUACCCUUGGAACUCCUUACUGCUUAAGGAAAUUUUACCUGUGCUUGAAAACAUCUCAGAUGCCACCGCCUCCAUGAGGCCCACCCUGAAUUAUCCCCAGCUGGAUAUAUCCUCUCCCUCUUUUACACCCUUCAGGACUGAUGUUCUCUCUCUUUAAUUGUUGGGGUUUUUUUUCUUCUUUAAAACAUGUCCUUUCCCCAUAUUUUCCUAGUUGUCAAAGUAAUACAUAUUCAUCAUAGAAAAAUGGAAAAUGCAGAAAGGCACAAAGAAUAAACAUAAGAAUUACCGAGAUAGCAAUGGGCUCUAACGUUUGUCAAGUCUGACAUGCAGGGACCGUCUAAGCUCUUUCUGUGUAUUAAUUCUGCUCAUUUUCACGACCUCUCCUCAAAGGUAGCUAUUGUUAUCUGAGGACAUGAUGUUGGAGGUCAUCACAGAGAUGUGUCUCAGGGGGUGGCCUGGAGGCCUUGUUGACCUCUGCUGGCGCACGGCCGUGUGAGUCAGGCCGAGCUGUGGGCCUGCUCGCUGCUCCUGCCCCCGCCUCUGUGGCCUGGGUCCCGGGUGGGCGUCUGCCCUCUCUGUUGGAUGCUGGCUGUGACUUUCGGAUGCCACCUCUCUGCUUCACUUUCUUCCCACUUCCUCGCAUGUGACUUUUCCUUGGGUCAGACAGAGGCCACCACACUUCAAGGGAAAGCCGGGUUUUAAUUGUGGGAAUAAAAAGUGCAAGAAAUAAUACCCACAGUUAAAUGUAUGGAGUGCUUACCACGUGCCAGACCCUGGUCUGGGAGCUGCGUGUGGGUGACCCAUUUAUCCCUCACAUCAUGGCUGCCGCUCGGACCGGGGAGGUUAUGGAUGAGGGGACUUCACCACAGAGAGGUUAUGAAACUAGAUUGAGCUACACAGCUAGAAUGUGGUGAGAUUCAAGCUGAGGUGGGUGGUUUCCUGAGCCCGAUUUGAACUGCUCGCUCUCUGGCGUGACCUCAUGUCCAGUGCUGAGACAACCAAAGCCAGCCUCUGCGAGUCAAAGUGGGGCCUGAGGCGGGGAGGAAAAUCUCUGCGGUAACGUUAGGAUUAGAACGAGGAUCGAGGAAAACCUCACGGGCCUCUCCCCACCCCGGACCACAGGAGGGUCCCCAGGCUGGAGGGCAGGGCAGGAGAGAGUGACACAGGGAAGACUGGACGGGGUCCAGGUGGAGAGAGGAAGGCCAGCACUGAGAGACUCAGGGAGCGGCCUGGAGCUGCCCCGUGCCCAGAGGGCUUGUUACAUUCGAGGAUGUGCCCUUGGCAGAGGUGUCCCAAAUGGUCUUUGUCUAGUCACUCCAGUGUGUAGCCUUCUGGUCACCUGUGGAUCAGCCAUCAGAAUGACACUCACAGGAGCCUGGAGACUUUGCCAAGUCCCAUCUAAACUGCCCUAUGUGGACACCACGUUCUCUCAAGGUCCGUCACACCGUAGCCCCUUGAGACAGAGCGUAGGGGGUCUUGACAUGCAGAGCGAUGGUGGCUUUGCUUCUGAACUUGGGUGGGAACAGACAGUGGUGAAAUCCAUUCCCUCUUCCGAUAUUCAAGGGUCAAAUUGUAAGUCCUCACCUUUCCAGGUCAUGGGAGGUCAGAGAAGGGGAUGAUCGUGUGGAAGAAGGCUGGGAGGACUUCUUGGAGGAAGGAGACUAUAACCUGGCUCUAGGAGGACAGAGACAAAUUCCUGUGGAGGAGGAGGGGGGCGGGAACACACACCAGGCUGAAGCGAAGGGGCGAGAGAGGGGAGCGCGCGGCGUCCAGGGAUGUGGACUGAGAGGACCCUCUCGAAGGCGGGUUGGGGUAGGAGGCAAGAUUCUGCACCCUCUGGGGUGGGCAUGUGAUGGGGUCAAGGAGAAGAGUGGGUGUGAGAAUCAGACCUGGGCUCGAAUCCUAGUUGUGCAACUUACUAGCUGUGUGAAUUCUGGCAAGUCACAUACCCCUAAACCUCACCCCAGCCUCAGUUUCUUGAUCUGUAAAAUGGAAAUCAUGACACCUACAUAAGGAAGGCACAGUCGGGACCUGGUGAGAUAAUAAACACACAGUGUCCCACCCAGUGCCUUUCGGGUACAUAGGACUUGCUUAACAAAUGGCAUUUAUUACUCUUGUUCAACUGGGAAGUCCCUCCUGUGGGUCGUGGAAAUCUCCACCCACCGCUGUUUUGUUUUUUAUGUCUUCGUUCAGUGUCUCCAAGUACCAUUGAAAACACAUUUGUGAUAUUGCGAUUUAUGAUAAGAAAUAUAUAUUUGAUCUUUGUCCCCAUUUCUGGGACAGAGCUCUUAAAACCCUUGGAAUUUCCUGAGCGAUAAGAUGCAAACAAUGAUAACAUCUUUUGUUAUAAUAUUUAGUCUCUUGUCCUUAGUUACUAAAAUCACUUCAGAGGCAUAAAGGUGAAAUGGGUGUCUUGUUAUUCCCAGCAAGCCCCUUUCCACCACAACUGGGUUCGUGUUAACGAGGUGACUUUUGGAAAGCCCCUAUGGAUGGGGGCUGGUUGCCAGGGGAACCAACCGUGAAUGCAGUCCCGCCCCUGCUGAGGGUUGCAUCAAUCACCAAUGGCUAAUGCUUUCAUCCAUCAUACCUGUGUGAUGAAGCCUCCAUAAAAACCCAAAACGAUGGGAUUUGGAGCCCUUCCAGGUUGGUGAACCCGUGGAGAGCUGGGGAGAGUGGCAUGCUCUGGGAGGGCAUGGAAGGUCAGCUCCCUUUCCCCAGACCUUGCCCUCUGCAGCUCCUCCGUCUGGCUGUUCCUGAGUUGUAUCUUUUUCUAAUAAACUGGUGAUGUAGAAGGUAAAAUGUUUCUCUGAGUUCUGUGAGCUGCUCUAGCAAAUUAGUUGAACCCACGGAGAGGGCCAUGGGAACCUCUGAGCUGUAGCCAGUCCUUCAGAAGCACAGAAGACAAGCUAGCCUUGUGAUUGUGUGAAGCAGGGCGGGGGUUGGGGCCGUCCUGUGGGCCUGAGCCCUUAACCUGUGGGAUCUGAUGCAAUCUCCAGGUAGAUAGUGUCAGAACUGAGUUGAUCUGUGGGACACCCAGCUGGUGUCUGAGAAUUGCUUGGUGGUAUGGGAACCCCAGCCCCUACUGCACCAUCGGAAAUAGGUUCAGAACUCUUUAACAUUCUAGCCUUGACAUCUAAAAGAAAUUGGGAAAAAUCCUAGCAGAUGUCCAGCUAGAAGAAAAUUAUACAGUGGGCAUAAAGGAAAUGUUGGGAUGCUAUUUCUACAUUUUAUUUGCCUUCGGUUUGGUUUUUACAGGAAGCCAUAUUCAUCUGAGUAGUUUUCCCAGCAAGCUUUGGAAACAUGUCUGGUUUCUUCAUGCACAACAGUGAUGCUUCUGGCUCCUGUCCAUGGAUGGAUCAGGGUUCAAGGAGAGCUGUUUGGCUUGGAGGGGGUUCGAAUUUGCCCUCAUCCACUCCACCCUCUCUUUGCCCAGCACUGGCCUGGGAAAAGGAGAGAAGCUGAUGGAGUCGUGUUGCAGAAUCUUCACCCUCAGCCCUUCUCCGUGAUGCCAUUCCCACCCCAGGAGUUUGAAUGGGAACCCGAGGAGCUGAUGACCCUGGAAAAUGAGACAGCAGCAGAAGAGCUCUCGGGUUAAGGGGGAAUUUUCCAGGUGAAAUGAUUAGUGGCCAGGUUGCUUUAACUAAUGAGCUUUUCAAUCAGAGUAAUAAAUAUUCAGAUAAGUCCAGUACUCAAUUGGUGAAAGCACCAAGCCAAGUUAGGACUAGAUGGGAAAUUAGAGCUUAUUUGGCCCAAGCCUCUACUUGUUCCCCUUUACAGACGCAUAAAUACGAAGGUCUUCUGUGUUCUAGACAGCUUCCCAUGUCUGUGUUUUAUUGAGUGUAAGCCAGGAAAGGCCUGCCUAUGGUCACCUCUACUGAUAGAACUUAAAAAUUUAAAAAAACAAAACCAACUUCUGGUUGUCCUCUCCCCCUAACCUGCCUAUCCAUCUGUUCAGGAUACUUUUCACAUUCACAGGGAUGUCACCAUGGCAUGUAGCCCCGUACCGGGCACAGAGCAGGCAUCCGGUAGAUGCUGAAUGCUGAAUGUGGCGGCCAAGGCCCUUCUGGAAUGUCGUGUCUGUCACCACUUCACUUCUCCACGUGUGUCUGCCUGCAUUUAGCCCCUUCCCUGGUCCACCUAUCAGAGGCACAGAAUUUAGACCCUGGCACCGAUGUAAAAGAUCAGCUAACCUGGUUUCCAAAACUCACUCAUCCAUGUGUCACCUUCACAGUUAUUUGUAAUAUUUGAGUAUUAAUGGACAUUGUUGAACAGAUUUUUAAAAUCAACUUCUCUUUUGAAACUUAAUCUCAUUUCAAAAGAAACGUUCAGGGGCUUGAUGACCUAGUUAUAUUUUUAUAUCAGAAAAUAAAUCUGUAUCAAUUUAAAUGAAAUAAAAUAAAAACAAAGAGUGUUCAUUUUGCAUUCCAUUUGUGGGAUCUGUCUUGCAUUUGGUAGGUACAGUUGUAACUGAGCCUCUCAAUGGUACAGAUGAGGAAACUGAGUCCUGCUGAUGUGAAGUUACUUGCUCAAGUCCACACAGCCAGCCAAUGGCUGAGCUUGGACUUGAACCCAGAUCAUCUGAAUUAUCCAUACAUCUUGGCAACCAUCUAUCCAUCCAUUCAUGCAGACCCACAAAAAUGUUUGCAAUGCAGACACAACUCCAGAUGUGGUGGCAGAUGCAGGCAAUAGGUUGGAGUGCCUGUUCUGGUUAGACUCAGGAUUUGGUGGAGGAGACAGUGUUCUAACAAGCCAUCUCGGCAUUGAGUUAUGUGACAAGAGCUGUGCUAGAGAUAGGUGCAAAGGAUCAUGGGAGAGAGGAGCUCAAAAUCUAGGAUUGUGCAACUGGGUCCUUGUGCUGCCCUUAAUCCAGAGCUAAGGAGAUAUCACUCUCCCAGCAAUAAAUACCUCUCAGCCACCAAAUUCUGUCAUGUGUUAUAGUACAGUGGCUAAGAGAAGGGUACCACCUUCAGACCUGAGUUCAAAUCCUGGGUGUGCAUAUCACUAGCUCUGUGACACAGGCGCAUUCUGUCACCUCUUGGAGUCUGGCUUCCUUCUGUAGCUGAGGUUGGCAUGGUCUGCCUAUAUCUUAGAGACGUGGGAAGGAAAUGAAGCCACACUUAUAAAGCACCGAACAGUGUCUGACCCAUAAUAGAUUUCUCAAGAAAUGAGAGCUAUUAUGUAUUAUUGUCGAUGGAUUGUUGCCUGCAUGCCUGCCAUAGCCCUUCCUCACACCAAAUCAUGGCAAGUUUUUCCUCUUCUCACCAGUGUCUCUGUUAGUGCAGAAGCCUGAUGUGAGGGUCUUUAGAACAGCCUUUCACAUGGCCUAGGACCCUCUGAUCACGGUUCUGUUCAUGUCCUUUGUCAAAGCACUCACUUCUCUUGCCUGUGCAGAUGAGAAGUCGACCCUUAAACAUAACUUUGAGGGUGGUUCUUACGAGCAAAAGUCAGCAUAAAACAUGGUGGCCUCAUGGUCUCUGGGCCCAGCAAAUGGAAGUUGGGCCGAGUCUGUCUGACUUCAUUUCUGGAGGCACACAUCGCUCCAGCAUUCCCCAAGCUGGGCAGCGAGGAAAUUCUCAUGUUCCCAACACUUUCAACAAUGCCCCAUUGUGCUUGGUGACUCAUGAGUGGGCCCAUGUCCAUGGAACAGCGUGUGUCUCUGCAGCGAGCACAGUACCUUGCUGUAUGUUUGAAAUAAUUUCGUAGGCUUGUCUCCACCACGGAUGUUACUUGCCAUCUUUUCUGACAGUUGCUGGAAGCUUGUUGUAUCAGAGAAAGCCAGGAAAGGAAAGGGCUCUGACUCUUUCCACUGGGCAACUGAGCACGUUGGAGAUCGUGCCCGGGAGGGAGACUUGGGUUCAAGCUGAAUUAAAAGCCAAAUCUUGGGUAUCUUUGAAAAAAGGUGCUUACCUUAGUUGGCAGGUCAAAGAAAACUCUCUGGUCGUCCAUAAUUGCUGUGGCUAGCGCCAAGGCUUUCUUACCCUUGACAUGCAGGGGAGAGGGCAGCGGGAUGUUAAAACAGCUCGUCGGACGUGCCAGGGUCAAGGAGGCACUGCAGAUUGUGUGCAGAUGCAGCCCAUUUGCCCCUUGUGUUGUUAAGAUCACGAAGUCGGGCAACUUUAUAGGGCACGAAGAACCCUAGGAACACAGGCUCCAUCUCUAACAUUCCAAAGAGAGGGGAGAGUGGCUGGCGUCUACUCAGUCCCGGGGACGCCUUGCCCUGUUGCUUUUUCCUACUGCCUGGCACAAAUGCCUUGGCCGUGCUGAGCUUCAGCCACAUUUGAGGGUCCCAUGAAGCCAGUGGGCCCAGGGCCAGCCUUGCUUGUGCCAUUUCAGACCUCGGCACCAUUGCAGCUCCUGGAAUGCCCACGUCUCCCUGGCUCCCGGCUGGACUCUCAGUCCCCCGCCAGCAGCCCAUGCAGACUGCAGUUGUUCCAGAGGGCCUUCUGGAAUGCCUAUUCCUUGGGUAGCUGCCUCUGGUCCCCGCAUGGGCCCCCACCCUCUAUUAUAAUACUAAGAAUGAGAUUAAACCUCCUUGGCAAGGUCUUUGCUUACUGCUCUCUCUGCUCAGCUAGACAGUGGGUUUUCUGAGAGCAGGGACUUUGGCUAUCGUGCUCACUCUUAUGUCAUCGUCACACAGGAUCUGUCCUGGCAGGCGGAAGGCACUCAGUAAAUGUGUGCUGAGAUAGCAAAUGAAGAAAUGAAGGGAUGAAUGGCAUCCCCAGGUAAUAGUCUGUGUAUGAUGAGGCAUGUAAGUUCCUGGGAUCCCUGAAACUCCUACAAUUAGCCAUCGUGUCGUGUAACUGUCUUGUCACUAGAAGAUCCCUUUAAAAGUCCUAUCUGUUGCCUGUUAUCAUUCAUCAAUACCUUUGCAUGAAUGAGGAUUACAGGUACCUGAGGAGACAGACUUGGCCUGGUGCUGCAAAGGGGUGGAAGUAGGGGAGGAUACAUGUGUUGUGUCAGAUCAGAGACAAGUAAGAAAGAUCCGGAGUGCGGCUACGGGGUGCCGUCCAAACGGGUCCCUGAAAUGAGGGGCCUCUUAUGAGUAUGACACCUUGAAGGGGAAGAGGACUGGGAAAGAGAAGGCAAGAGGUCAAGUGUUCCUAUUAGCCCUGAGGCCAAGCCUGGGGGUAUCUUAGACUUGUUAGGGGGAGGGGCCCAGGUGAGUUCCUUGUCCUUGUUUCUAGCUCCUUAGACAAGGGGUAAUUCCCUAACCCAUCUGCACUCAUUUACUUAUUCUUUCAUUGAACUAAACCACACUGACUGCCUAUGAUGCCCUGGGACCUGUUCCACAUGUUGGGGAUGCAGUGAAGAACAAAACAGACAAAUUUCCUGCCCUCAUGGGGCUUACAGUCUAAUUGGGGAGAAACAGACGCUAGACAAAUAAAUCUGUGAUGCCAGAUAACCAUAGUGUUCUGAAGAAAAAUGGAGGAGGGAAAGGCAGUGGUGAGCGAUGGGGUGUGAUUUGGUUACUGCGCAAAAUCGGGGUUCACUUGCCCGAUGCGCAUAAACAAGCCAAUUGAUUAUGGCAUCAGCCUUUGGGAAAAGAGAUCAGUUUAUUCUGUGAGAUCAACCUGCAGGGAGAACAGGGGGUGUGUGUCCCCAGAUCUGUCUCCCCGGUUCAGGAUCUGGGGUGAAAUUUAAGAAGUUAGGGAGAACAGGCUGGCACACGGAAAUGCUGGUGGGACGGAGUUUGAUUGGUGGGCCUCAAGUGUGUAUGGUAAGGUUUGAACAUGUAUGACAGUGUUCUAUACAUGUAUGAUGAGAUGGGGAGGGAAUUUUAACACCAGAUCUCCCUGAAUGAGGGGCUCCUCGCUUCUGAUAAGAGUCCAACUUUCAAGUUCGGGUUGUGUCCUGGUCCUUGGGUUCUGUGGGAAGGAGGAUCUUUGGUUCCACGGUCAAUUCAGGUCACAAUUUUGUCUUUUGUGCAUGCCCUGGCUACGUGACUUUGCAGAUUUUCCAAAAGGCAAUUCUUAAUCACUCUGUUGAUAAGAGAUGAGGUCAGCUGAACCGGUCCUGGAGGGCCUGUGGUUACAGUUUUAGAUAGUGCAGUCAGGGUGGCCACCUUGAGGGGACGCCAGGGCAGAGUAUAAAGCAAGGGGCCCUGAUGUCUGGGCUGGUCGUUAGUGGGAGACAAAGAGACUAUAUGCAGGCCCCAUUGCUUUUGACAAGCAUGCAGAAGGGGGCCAAAGACAUUCUUUGGAAAUAAUUCUUUCCUCUGAGCUGAACAGAGGUCUUCAACAGACAGGUGUGCCGGGCAUCCUCAGCUUGGAGUUGGCUGCGAGAUGUUCCCCCACUGAGCCUCAGCUUGCUCCUCUGUGAAGUGGACAGCAAUUAGACGCCCUUCACAGGGGUCUCUGAGGGUUAAAUGAGCUGUCCCCUGUGAGAACUGCUCUCCGUGAAUGGUAAGGGACUGAGCUGGAGAGCGGAAUUUACGUGUUCACCACUUGUCAACCUUCAGGGUACUGAGAUCCCACCAGCAGUUGGCUGCUUGCUGAUUCUGGGGAGCUGUUAGACACCCUCCUUCAUGCUCCCAAGCCAGAUCCCCUACCCUCUGCCCCAGGACUCCCAUUAGUGUUAGGGUCCUACAGUCCAGAGGUUAAAAGUGGUUCACACAGGGCUGGUUGGUUUUCAGCUGGCAUGUAAGAGCAUCGCAAAAUCGCCAGUAUUUGUCCUGAUCAGUUGGUGCCUAUAUCAUACCAGAUGUUAACAUUUUUUGACUCUCAAUCUAGUUAAAAACAUGGACUUGGAGCCAGAGGGCUGGAGUUCAAAUCCCAGCUCCCCUACUUACCAGUUUUGUGACCUUGGGCAAGUUCCUGCCCACACCCCUAUUUCUACACCUGUAAAAUGGGAAUCGUACCAGUGCUACUCACAGGACUACGGGAAGAAUUAUAUGAGUUAUGCAAAGGCGCUUGAAGCCAUGCCUGGCACAUAGCCAUGGGUCAGUGUUUGCGAUUCUUGUCCUUACUUUCGUUCCUUCUCCACUUUUCCUGUGACUUCCUGUGGAGAAGAGGUCUGUUCUGUUCAUCUCUUGGUUGCCACUGGCUCUGUCAGCCUUGGGAUUGGGUAGGCGCUCAGUAAUUGUUGGGUGGGUGCAUGAAUGGAUGGAUGGAUGGAUGCCUCUAAACUUUAUGAUCAAGGCCUUGAGGGUGAUGAAAGAAAAUAUGGAGGGGGCUGAUGGUACAGUUUGGAGAAGGGGCAGAGCAUGGUGCAAGCUUCUCAUUAAAUCCUCUUUUCCUGCAGAAAUGCCUGAGGAUGAGGACUGAGGGGAGAGGGGCCCUGGCUCAUCUCAUCUGAGUUCCACGGCUGACCCGGUGUGGCUUCUGCGCCAAGCGUGUUAAGACACUAUCCAUCUCUUACUCCUCACUGCCACCCUGGGAGGCAGUACUGCUGUUGGUUCCAUUUCACAGAUGAGGAAGCUGAGGUUUGGAGAAAUGAAGUGGCUUUCUUAUGGUCACACCCAAGACUACUAAUUCCAGAACCAUAGCCCUAACCUUUAUGCUCCACUGUUGAGUCUGUUCCCCAGCCACUGUAUUAACACUGUAUUAACAGUUUUGCUGCACAGCACUGGGCUAAGGACUCACUCUUUGGAAGUCCUUGUUUCGUCUGAGGUGAGCAGGGCCCUUUGACAGGUGAAUGUGCCCCGCCCUGAGUGCUAGGCAUUCUCAACCUGGGGUCUUCAUGCCAGCUUCUUCUUGGGAAAAUUCUGCGAUCUCUUUAGAGUGGUUUGGCUAAGUUCACUCAAUUCACAGGUAACAAUAAAGCUGGUGUCUGGUCAGGCACACUCUGCAUUCGUAAAUGUGAGUACAGAAAUGUGACGUUGAGGACACAGGGGAGGGAUCUUAGAAUGGAGGAAAGGCAGUGUUUGUUGAGCGCCAGCAGCCCCCGGCACCCUGUGUCCCUUCUCAGCAGUCUUCACUGCAGCUUUGUGAAGAGCUGUCUGUGAUCUCCAUUUUGCAGGCGAGGAGACUGAGGAUCUUAUCGGUUCUCUGGCUUACCCGAGUCAUGUGGCUGGGAAGGGCUCCUCCUGAGCCUUGAACCUGGGUCUCUCAGGCUUCCAAACUCUGCCCUUUGCACUGAUCUUCCCUGGGAAUGUGCGGCUGGCUGUGACAAGGAAUGGGGUUCCCACAGGUUCCUAACUAUCUGUGCGCACAGUGUACGGUUAGAGGUCUAGCCUAAACAUGAGUCAGUUCACAACGGCCGUGUUCUCCAGCCAUCUGACAACUAGAUGAUUUGCUCCGAGAAUGCUGGAUUCUUCCCCUGCCACUGCCCCCCUUCAGGGGAAAGUUCAUUGCUCAGAAGAAAUCCCAGUGGUAUACACCCCUAAAGAAUUGAAAGCUGGCACUCUGAGAGAUAUUUGUACACCAUGUUUGUACUAGCAUUAUUUGCAAGAGCCAAAAGGGGGAAGCAACCAAGUGUCCGUCAAUGGAUGGCUGGAUAAACAAAAUGUGGUAUAAACAUACAAAGGAAUAUUAUUUAGUCUUAACAGAAAGGAAAUUCUGACACGUGCUAUAACCCAGAUGAAACUUGAGGAUGUUAUGCUAAGUGCAACAAGCCAGUCACAAAAGGUCAAAUUUGGACUAUAUGAUUCCACCUAGAUGAAGUACCUAAAGGAGUCAAACUCAUAGAGACGGAAAGUAGAAUGGCGGCCGGGGGCUGCCGUGGCAGGUGUGCUGAAGUUGCAAGUUGUUGUUUAAUGUGUGCACACUUUCACUUUUUCAAGAUGGGAAGAGUUCUGGAGAUGGAUGGGACUGGUGAUGUCUCAACAACGUGCUUGAUGCCACUGAACUGUGCGCUUAAAAAUGGAUCAGCUGAGCAGCAUGGAACAAUUGCUUCUGCCUUAAUUUCUGAUGCUUUACAAAGGCUGAGCUGAAGGCUGCACCACCAGAAGCUGGGCUGUCGUCUGCAGCGUCAGGAGCUCCGGGAGCCAACGCCGGCUGGGCUCAGCUUCCCGGGCACAGCUUGGGAAGCGUGGGAACGUGUUGGCUCAGCUCAGGAGUUACUGGCUGCCUGCCAGGCACCUUUUGGUGGACACCUGUUCCCAGGGCCCUCAGCAAAGGCCAGCAGUGGCCAGUGUCUCUGUGACCAUGUCAGAUCAGUGGUCCCUGCUCACUGUUAGCCUGUCCAACAGGCUCCUUUGUGGUCACAUCCUUGCUCUGUAUCCCUCUGUCACCCCUCCAACCCAUACUCCAUGUUCCAGCCACAUCUCAUAUACCUGGGUGUUUUCCAGUUACCCCCACCCCAGACCCACCCUCCACUCUGCUCUGCCCAGCUCUGAGCCCCAGGAGUCAGAUGACUAGGGAUGCACCCCCAGGACCCCCUGCCCUGCCCUCUGGCUUCCUGUUGGGCUUGGCAGAUAGGCAGCCCCACAGGAGAUCUGUGGAGGAAGAGGAGAGAUAGGCAGGGGGACCCCUCCCUGAGGGGCCAUCUCAGGCUGGCUGCGUGCCUUAGAAGACUUGGAUCCUCUCAAGGUGGCCCUCUCUAGGAAAUUUUCUCUUUCUCCUUUCAGGUAACUGCUGCCUCCCUUCCUCCUUUUGAGGCCGGGGGUGGUACAGCCCUUGGAGUCCUGCACUGUCUCUCGUGGUCUCCCUGGAUCUUGCCCACCCCUCAGUCAAUAGUCUGUUUACUAAAGCCUUCUUGAAUUCUCUUAAUUUGAAUAUUCCUGCUGGAACUCAGACUGCUGCAUACGCUUUAUUAUUUUAUAUACCUGUACCUUUUCUCAUCUUUCCUCUUCUGCCAGAAUUCCCUUCUUCACUGUGGCUGCCUGUUGAACUUCUCUUCAUCCAUCAAAAUUCCACUCAGACGUCAGCUCUGUGAAGCCUGGCUUGAGUUUCCCAUUAGCAUUAAUUACUUCUCCCUUGGCCUUGUAUCACUCUUUGUGAUAUCAAUCUUGUCCAUAUAUCUACCAUCCCCAUCCUAACUCCUUGCUAAUCGGACAUGCCCAAACUUUCUCUCAUCGGAAUUUUUAAUGUUUAAUUCCUUCAAAGUCUGAUUAAGUGACUGUCUAAAGUGCCUGCUUCAAUGCCUGACCCAGAGUAGAUGCUUAAUAAAUGGUAGCUGUUAUCAGACUACUUCAUACUAAAGUAUGAAUGACUAUAUGAUUUAAUGCAUUAUCCCUCCCAAGAACAGCUCACAUUGAUAAGGGACCUUUUAGAGUUAAUAUUCCCUUCAACAAAUUUCUAAAUUGGCAGAGUAGGGUUGGGGGUGGUGUCGAGGCGUCUUCCUCUGGGGCUUCUCAAAUUAUAUCAAGUGCAAGGCCUCUCGGUCUGUAGGUUUGAGAAAACAGAGAAUCACUUCAGGUCAGUCUCUAGCACUCAGAGGCUGCUUGGAAAGGGGACAGGUUGCUCAAUAGUGGCCUGGGGGAGCAGCGUCUGUGGAAAAAGACAGAUGUGACUGGACCCAUGUCUGCUCGGCUAGUAUGCCCUUCCAGGGCUAUUGGAAUGUGAUUUUCUAAAUUGUGACUGGCUGCCUUUCUUCUCUUGUGGUUGAGUCUGUAAUAACAUAGACUAUGACUCUAGUUUUGCCAAAGUGGAAAAAAAUGCCAUCCAAUGGAUUUUUAUGAUGGUUCUUAAACAUUUUUUUUUAAUAUUAUUAAAGAUGUAGCUCAAUACUCCUUUAAUGUCCUGCUUUGGGGCUGACGAGCCAAGGCACAGACUCACGAGGCUGGGUGUGGGCGGUCGGGGGUGCUACCUACCCCUGGGAGGUGCCGACACUGGCUCGGUCGCUCAGUGCAAUUUUGCCUAAAAAUGGAGCUACCUACGUAAAUACAAAUCCAGAGUCUUUUGAUCGUCCACAGCUUGGGGCAGAGAUCAAAGCAAAGCGUCUCCCUCCUCAUUAAGUUCAAGAAGCCAGGGAGCCUUCUGUGUUCCAAGAAGUCCAAAUCCUCCUUCCCAGACUGCAGAGAAUCUCGGCUCACCCCUUAGGUGAUGGAGGGGCCGGCCGGGCGGAACCGCCUCGUGCAGGCUGACCUCCUCCCAGCCCUGUGGAGAAGAGUGGGCCGGGCUGACACAGCCUCAGGGUCAGGGUAUUUGGGGGCGUCUUUUCUAACAGGGUGGGUCCCACAGUUGUUCAUGCAGCUGGCAGACAGGCAGGAUUCUUGGGAAGAACCAAAACUGGCGUUUGCCGAGUGAGCAGUGUCUCGGAGCGGUUAGGACAGAAGGUUCUCAGUGAGGGGAUCAGCUAACGGGAGCAAGAUGGAAGGCCCCAGGGACUCUGCGUUUGCUGCCCUUCCCCCUCCCCCAGCUUCCCAUGUCACCAACAUCCUGAAGUUCCCCCUUUCGGGAAGCUGUCAUGUAGCCACUGUGAGGUCCCCAAACCUCGGAAGUGAGGCUUGUGACCUGGGCUGCAAAAGGGGUUUGUCCUGGUCCCUAACUGCAGCUGAGUUGACCUCCUUUCUGCUCCCUGCCCGACAGCGGGCUCCCGGCUCACGUGGUCAUGGUCUCUCCCAGCCUGCGUGGUGGCUCUGAUCACACACCUUUAUCGCUCUCUGGUCCCACCUCCGUUCUUAGUAGAUGCUCUAUAGUGUCUGUCAGUGGGAUGAUUCUGAACCUUCCUUGGAUAUGCUCUUUGUUAUCCUCCAAUGCAGUGCCUUCACCUCUUCUGCCUCAGUGUUUACUUUCUCGGAUUGGACCCAGUCUUGGAGGCCACUUCCACUGGUCAGAGGGGAGUGACGUGCUUGCUUUGUGUCUCUGGCCUCAGGAUGGCGUUACUGUAAUUCCAGCUUUAUGACUUGUGGCCGUCUGACUCCGACCUUUGCUCCACAUUGUGGCGUGGAGCAGGGCAAGCUCUCUGAGUGGAGCGGUGGCUGAAAUCCUCCCUGUUUCAAAGAACUGCACAUAAAUAUAUCUAAGACAUUUAAGAAAUUUGCCCGUCAAAACAUUUUGGGAAGAACAGCCAGAUUUUAUAAAGGAAAAAAGGGCAGUUUAAUGGGCAAAGAUGUUCUGACUAAUUCUCUGCUUGAGUGACUAUCCAAGUUAAGAGGCUGGUCGACUAGCAUUUUCAGGAAUCCAGAUCUCCGAGCUGACUUGUCAUUGGAGCAUCUUCAGGGGGUCACGUGCAGGGGCCCUGGUCGUCUCACCUAGUGUUGGACCUGCUCAGAGAACAGUUGUCUCUCCCCUGCCCAACCAGGACCCCACCACCCUGUGCAGGUUUCCGUGUCAGAAAGGUGAUGGGUGAACUUGAUGGCAGGAAGAUUUGCCUUAGGACUGGGGGUGGAGAGACAGUGGUGGGACAUGCAUGGCUUUGCUCUUUCUUCCCCCCACACCUGGAGGCUAGGAUACCUUCUCUGGAGAGCAAUGAUGGAGCAUCAGAGAGGUGUCUGCCCACUUGGAAGCACUGGCAUGGUAUUGAUGACUUUGAGAAAGCCAUGAACCUGGCACAUCUGCUCCCGGCUCCGGCUGCCUGUUCCCUAGGGCAGGUGCAUGGGGCACAGCAGACCCCACAGCAGAGAUAGUGAAGAUGCUGCUCCCAACUUUUGUAUUGUGGAGCAUUAUUUGACCCAAGGCAGGUCUCUUUACACCUUUGUGCCUCAGUUUCCCUAUUCAUAUGGCAUAAUAUGGCAAAUGUCCCAAUGCAGCCAAUAGGAGACCGUGUGCAGAGGAGGGGUUUGUCCCCCCAUCCCAUUCCCUCCCACUCCUAGUGGUCGCUUCUCACCUCUUGUUACUCCCUAGAUCUAUUUUACUCUUAGAUGGUUGCCAAUUUCUUUCUUCUUAGAUGUAUGCUGGUAAUAACUUGAGGGUAUUUUCUUUAAGAACCCUAAACAUAAAGGAAGAUUCUGGAAGGUCAGGAGCCUUUGAGGUGCAGCCGAAUGAAUCUCUAAUGAUAAUAUUUCAGCAGAGACUUGUUUUCUUUUCCUUUUUCCAAAUGAGAGUCUUUUCUCAAUCCCAUCGUGGUGGUGGAGGAACCUUUCUAUAUUUGAGGUCAUAUAGUUUGCUUUUUUCUGCUUAAUGUUAUAUGCAUUUUUUUCUUGUCAUUAAAAUUAUCUUGUAGGCAUCAACUUUUUAAAUUUUUUCAUAAAAAAUUUUCAAACGAUGCAGAAAAGGUGACAGAAUUUUAUAGGGAGCCCUCGCAUACCUACCCCUUAGAUUCUAUAUCCGUUAAUAUUUUACUCUGCUGGUUUUAUCAUGUAUCUCUCCAUCUAGCCCUUCCUCGCUAUAUCCAUCCAUCUACAACUUUUGGGGUGCAUUCAGAGUAAGUUGCAGGCGUCAGCACACACCCCCAGUAUAUUUCAGCAUGUGUAUUGUUAACUAAAGCUAGUUCCUUAUGGAUUUUUCUGAACAUACAAUAAAAUGCACACAUCUUAAGUGUACUAUUUGUACAUUUUUAAAAAACGUCAUUCUGUUUUAGUCGUGUAUCUCCACACUUCCUAACUUAACAGUUAAUUAAUUAACUACAUAACAACAGCCGGGUGACUCCUCUGUAUUCCUCACCCGGAAGGCGGAGGCCUGGGCUCCCUUAUUCUUCAGUGAUGGGGAGUCAGUGUGGCCCCACCCCUGUUCCCACCCGGUCUGCUCUCUCAGCAUCCUGGCAGUGGAUGCAGCUUUGCCCUGCUCUCUCCCCGCUCUAACCCUUGGUCAAGGAAGCCCAGAGCCACUUCCUGGGCCCGUCUACUGCAGCCUGGCCAGUCCAGCCAGACCCAGAAAUGCUGACUCAGUUACCAUGAAAUUGUUAAAAUAUUGUAGCCUUCAGCUACCACACUAGCAGUUGUGAGCUGCCUCUCAGUUUCUCAAGAGCUUGCCUUCAUGUUGUUUCAUUGAGACCUCACGCAGCUCAGUGGGGUAACUAUUAUCACUAUGGUAACCAUUUCUCACAUGGGGAUGCUGAGGCUCAGAGAGGGGAGGUCAUGCAGCUUGGGUCUGAAUCCAGGCCUGCGGGGUUUCACGAGCUGAGCUCUACUUGUGGCCCCACAGAGCUCUCCCCUGAGCCGAAUUCUCAGGCUGCGAAAUAGCGACAAUGCCUAUCACUAAAUAUGUGUCAGAACAACUUUCCGGGAAGUUUGACGUGAGGAGUUUGAUGUUAACCUGGCUGGGGGUUUGCAGAUGUAGUGACAUAAUUUGCUGUUCAUGCGGCACGGAGACAUGUGGUCUGGUGGGAAGAGCACUGGUUUUGGAGUCAGCUGACCUGGGCUCUUCAUAACUGAGCUGCGUGACCUCAGGCAAGUCACUUAUCAAGAAUCAAUAUUUUUUUAAUACGUGCCUAGUGGGGGACACACAUAAUCUCAUUUAACUCCUCCUCCCAACACCCUACCGUUGUUUUGAACCUUGCUUUAUAGAUGAGGAAACUGAGGCUCAGAGAGAUGAAGUUACUUGCCCAAGGUCACACAGCUGAGGAACCCAGGCUCUGGGACCUGCUCUCCUAACCGCAGUGCUACAUCACCGCAAUCUGCAAUGUGGGGCUAACUGGCUCUCCUUACGAGUGCUGUUGGUCUAUGAGGUCAGACAUGUAAAGUUUUCUCUCCAGAGGAAUAAGCCAUGGUCCCUUCCUUCAUGGUCCAAAUGCACAGGCUACGACUGGCUGCCUCUGGGCUAAAUUUGAUCCACAUGCUGUUUGUUAGAGAGUUUUGUUCUUUUAAUUUGGAUUGUCAACACUUAAAAAUUAAGAGCCUGUACAUAACAAUAUCUUUUUCCAGCUUCCCUUAAAAGAUCUAAACAUCUGGAGCCAGCCCUGAUGACCUAGUGGUUGAAGUUCAGCGUGCUCCGCUUUGUUGGCCCAGGUUUGGUUCCUGGGCAGGGAACCACAUCACUUGUCUGUCAGUAGCCAUACUGUGGCAGUGGCUCACAUAGAAGAGCCAGAAAAACUUACAACUAUACACAGCUAUGUACUGGGGCUUUGGGGGCUAAAAGGAGGACAAAAGGAGGAAGAUUGGCAACAGAUGUUAGCUUAGGGUGACUCUUCCCCUGCGGAAAAAAAAAAAGUUUGCCUUUCUUACUGGAAGAAUUAAAAAAAACAUAUCUGAACAUCUGCACAAAGUGGGUCCCCAUUUGGGCCUGAAGCAAUUGGCCGGCACUGAGGCAAAGCUGAUGCCUGCUCCCAGCUCCUCACGGUCCUCACCAUUCCCUCUUGGCUUCCCCUUCCUGAGGCUGAGUGUCAGUGGCCAUUUCUCAUCCUGCUUGCACUGUGGCUUUUCCGACACCAGGCCCACUUCACUCACUCAGGCCCCUGUGUGCAUGUGGGUUUGUAGACGGAGCAAAACCAAAUAGCUCAGUGGGGGCAUCUUCUUAUUAUUUUCUAGAAGGGAGCCAGAUCUCAGGUCAUUUGUUAUCUAUGAGAUUCAAAAAUCAGGGUGUUCUUGUGACAGUCAGCUCACGAUGUACCCAGGAGCAUUUGGAAGGCGUGUAUUUCCCAGCUUGUCACAAACCAGUGGUCUUGGAGAGCAUGAUGCUUCGUUAACGCUGCGGCUGUGUCUAGGGUUGUCAGCUUUUGUGUUCUUGGCAUUUUCAGCCCGUACCAACCCUUGGCCUGUAGUUUCCUCAUGGUUGCCCAAGGCCUUCCAGAAGCUCCUCCUCCUGAUUAUGCGUGUGUUCCCCAGGCUCAGCUCUGAAAGCGGAGAGGCCACGGGAACAGAGCUUUUCCCCCGGUGGGGUGGGCAUUAGGGGGAUACAUGAGCAUUUAAAAAGAAAAGUUAAUUGUAUGUGUUUAUUUUCAUGAAUACUAGAAAAAUAUAAUUAGCACAUCAAGUCUAUGAUUUUAAGAAUGUUAUUGCUUAGGAGGAAGCUAAGUUUUAAAAGAGUUAAUGUUGAUUUAAAGAGAAAUAGUAAGUAAAUGCUGCUACAGGUGAAAAGUCACAGCAAAAAUACAGGGUGUUGACACCUACAUGACUGAAGUUUGGGGCCUGUGUCAUCCUCUCCAUCCUCUUUGGGUCAAGUCCAGGGGCGAGAGACAAGGUCCACCUAUUUCCUCCCUUGCUCUCCCUCCAUCUCUCUCCCCUCCCCCGAGUCUGGGAGCCUUGACCUGGAGAUGGGAUGGGAUGGGAUAGAGACGGUGGGCAGAUUUGCUCUUCCUACUCACAGCUUCUCCUAAGUCUGUUGUGUUGUCUUUGCAAAUAGGCCCUUUACUGGCCUCGAAGGGACUACACUUUUGAAACUUAAGGCAGGAAAAGAUUCUUGUGCAGUGUCAUCUCUUUCUCAGGGUGGAGAAUACAGAACACUCUGGCAGCUGCAUGAAUGAGGGAGUCUCAUGGCCAACCAAAUAAAACCCUUGUUAGUUAGUACUUUUGAAGAAAUAGCCCCCAUACUUGGAUGUGGCAACUAUAUGUGCGGACUGCAGUGGUUGGAAAGAACAAAAGAACAUGAGGAUUGAAUUGAGGAAAUGAACUUGGCUGAAUGACUUCAUCUCUGAACCUCAGUUUCCUCUGCUAUAUAAUGGGACUCCAAAUAACACUCAACUUGAAGGGUUAUUGAAAGGACUAAAUGAGAUAUUGUGUGCAGAGUGGCACGUAUAAGUCCUCAAUAAAUAGCAGCCCGAAGGAUGAUGACGAUCCUGCCAGGCAGGCUUUCUUCAGGUGUUGAUGUUAAUUUAGGGAGAAAGAGGAGUUGUAUCUUGAGGUUUUGUGUUGGAGUUUUUGCCCAUGAGAACAUCUUGACAGAGGGCAUCGUCUGUUGGCAUGUUAACGGCCAUGCUCUAGGGCCACCCUUUUCCCCUGCCUUUGUUUGGUCUGUGGGGACAGGAACAUUCUGUUCUGUUGGUCAUAAGGCAAGGCUGUAGGAGUGGAGGGCAGCUCUGGGCACUUGGCUGCUUUCGAGAUUGGGUGAAAGCCAGUGAGGACUGGCUACAGGCCACUGGGUCACGUCCAGGAGAAGUCGCUCUCCCACCUGGCUCGCAGGCAUGAAUGCACAGUUAGAAUUUACUGAGUCUCAGCUGAGGGUCCAGUAGAGGAAAGGAGACACAUGAGCGCAUUACCUUGAGUGGAGAUCGCUAGAAUUCUCGCCAAGACGGCAUUAGCACAAAGGACAGAAACAGCCCAAAGAAACUAGCAUGGCUUCUCCCAGAGAGAAAUUAGAUUACUCUCCUCUCUUUGGUGGGUUUUGAUUUAGCUUGCAGUUAUUUUCAUUGAUUUUGCAGUAACCACACUUUCUAGUUUCUGUAUUUGAUGCUCCCCUCGAUGGUCUCAAAUGGAUCCAGCCCUACCAACAUCUUAACUUCAGCCAGUGAGACUGUUUUCAGACUCCUGGCGUCUGGAACUGUAAGAGAAUGAAUUUCUGUUUUUUCAAGCCCCUAAGGUUGUGGUAAUUUGUUACAGCAGCCACAGGAAACUGGUACACCUGGUUGUCCUUCAUUCAAUCAACACAUCUUUGAUGCAAAUCUUCUAUGAGGUGCCAGCCGUCCUUUCUCUCAUACAGUGCGUCUGCAGGGACAUGUCCGUGGGAGAUGCCACAUCUUAUCCACUUAUAGCCAAGUUGGUGACUGGGGGAGGGACGUCACGCUCCCUGUUCCUCAGAGGCUCCAGCCGGCUCUGUUUGAUGGCAGUGCUCUGAGUCUGAACUCAGGGGUUCCCUCCAGGGGAGGAGAAGGGCCAGGGUGUCCUGGGAGCCGUAGGGUGGGGAGACUAACGUGCACUUGUAGCUUCUUGCCCACACAAGGACCAGCACCCGGCCUGGGCUGAGCACAGGGAGUGGCCACUGGCAUCUUGACCCAUGUGACCUGAAUUAGUUUCCUAGUACCACAAAUAUAGUGGUUAAAAUGGCACAGGUUGUUUCUCUCACAGUUCUGGAGGCCGGAAGUCAGACAUCAGUCAAGGUGUUGGCUUUCCUCCCUGGAGGCCUUAGAGGGAAUCCAUUUCCCGGCCUUUUGUACCUUCUAGAGGCCACCUGCCUUCCUUGGCAGGGCCCCUGCUCCAUCUUCAAAGCCAUCACCCCAACCUCUGCUUCCAGCAUCACCUGCUUCUCCUCUCUCUCUCACCCACCCUGUGUCCCUCUGAGAAGGAUCCUUGUGAUGACAUUGAGCCACCUGGAUAACGCAGGAGAUCGCAAGAGCCUUGACUUCAUCACAUCUGCACAGCCCCUUUUCCCAUGUGAGGUCACAUUCACAGGUUCUACGAGUUAGGAGGGGGACAUCUUUGGGAGCCAUUAUUCGUGCCCCCUCAGAGCAGGAAGCUUCCAAUGCCCUUUGAGCUUCAGCAGAGCCCUGGCCCACGGCUCUAUGGAAGAAUGUGGGUAGUAAUCAGGGCCUGAGGCCAGCCUCUCUCUGUGUACCUGUGACCACCACUCGAUUGGAGGGCCACACGUGGCUGGGUAGUGGGGUCCUCCGUGGCCUUUCCUGAAAAGAAUGUAGACAUGUGAUCAUGAGAUUUGUAGGAAGCACUCAGUAAUUACAGUAGGACCCAGGACUCCGGGAGCCAGGUUUCAGCGAGCUGCAUGGAAAGAGUUCAAAGACGCCUGAGAUGGAAGCCCGGUUGGUUUUCUUUCCAUGGUCCUGUAGCUGCUUUUUCUGAGACUUUCCUAACUUCUCUGCAGCCGAGGGGAACAUUAGUCUAAACCUGGGUCACUUUGUGUUGACCGGGACUGCAGUUAGUGCUCCCCUGUCUGCCACCACAAGAACACUGUGUGCACCAACUGGAGUUUGGGUUCCUCUAAAAAAAGAUCUUGAACUGCAGCAAUUGCACUGGAUUUAAAGGUCCA
Molecule: long non-coding RNA, 23806 nt
Filed under: Equus caballus (horse)
Lineage: Eukaryota; Metazoa; Chordata; Mammalia; Perissodactyla; Equidae
Description: lncRNA (ENSECAG00000054832.1)
Source: RNAcentral